This 305-nucleotide ribosomal RNA is filed under the name uncultured bacterium. RNAcentral's name for it is "bacterial SSU rRNA". It matches the Rfam family "Bacterial small subunit ribosomal RNA", at positions 335 to 658 of the family's 1533-position model. The record is from RNAcentral.
UAUUCUACGGGAGGCAGCAGGGGGGGAUAUUGAACAAUGGAGGAAACUCUGAUGCAGCGACGCCGCGUGAAGGAAGACGGUCUUCGGAUUGUAAACCUCUGUCUUUGGGGAAGAAAAUGACGGUACCCAAAGAGGAAGCUCCGGCUAACUACGUGCCAGCAGCCGCGGUAAUACGUAGGGAGCGAGCGUUGUCCGGAAUUACUGGGUGUAAAGGGAGCGUAGGCGGGCGAGAAAGCUGAAUGUUAAAUCUACCGGCUUAACUGGUAGCUGCGUUCAAAACUUCUUGUCUUGAGUGAAGUAGAGGG